GAUGAUUUUGGAUCCSACUGAGUGGCGAACUGGUGAGUAACACGUGGGUAACCUGSCCAGAAGAAGGGGAUAACACCUGGAAACAGAUGCUAAUACCGUAUAACAACMAGAACCACAUGGUUCUUGKUUGAAAGCUGGCCUUUGUGCUAGUGCUUCUGGAUGGACCCGCGGCGUAUUARCUAGUUGGUGAGAUAAUAGCUCACCAAGGSAAUGAUACGUAGCAGACCUGAGAGGGUAAUCUGCCACAAUGGGACUGARACACGGCCCAUACUCCUACGGGAGGCAGCAGUAGGGAAUCYUCCACAAUGGACGAAAGUCUGAUGGAGCAACGCCGCGUGAGUGA
RNAcentral lists this ribosomal RNA (343 nucleotides) under Fructilactobacillus sanfranciscensis. RNAcentral describes it as "Lactobacillus sanfranciscensis partial 16S ribosomal RNA". It matches the Rfam family "Bacterial small subunit ribosomal RNA", at positions 74 to 408 of the family's 1533-position model. The record is from RNAcentral. Lineage: Bacteria; Bacillati; Bacillota; Bacilli; Lactobacillales; Lactobacillaceae.